GCGGGUUUAGCUCAGUUGGGAGAGCGUCAGACUGAAGAAUUACUUCAUUCUCAUCAACAGCGUUGAUAUCUGAAGGUCAUGUGUUCGAUCCACAUAAACCGCA
Non-coding RNA from Cercophora newfieldiana, 103 nucleotides. NCBI's taxonomy places the organism in Eukaryota, Fungi, Ascomycota, Sordariomycetes, Sordariales, Lasiosphaeriaceae. The record is from the annotation of a GenBank genome assembly.